Molecule: ribosomal RNA, 325 nt
Filed under: uncultured eukaryote
Lineage: Eukaryota
Description: partial 18S ribosomal RNA
Rfam family: Eukaryotic small subunit ribosomal RNA
Source: RNAcentral
CCCUUAGAUGUCCUGGGCCGCACGCGCGCUACACUGAUGCAUUCAACGAGUUUUACCUUGGCCGAGAGGCCUGGGCAAUCUUUUAAACCUGCAUCGUGAUAGGGAUAGAUUAUUGCAAUUAUUAAUCUUGAACGAGGAAUUCCUAGUAAACGCAAAUCAUCAAUUUGCAUUGAUUACGUCCCUGCCCUUUGUACACACCGCCCGUCGCACCCACCGAUUGAAUGGUCCGGUGAAGCCUCGGGAUUGUGGCCAGUUCACUUUAUUGGGAGUUGGCUGCGAGAACUUGUCUAAACCUUAUCAUUUAGAGGAAGGUGAAGUCGUAACA